This 441-nucleotide ribosomal RNA is filed under the name uncultured bacterium. RNAcentral describes it as "bacterial SSU rRNA". It matches the Rfam family "Bacterial small subunit ribosomal RNA", at positions 339 to 796 of the family's 1533-position model. The record is from RNAcentral.
CUACGGGAGGCAGCAGUAGGGAAUAUUGCGCAAUGGGCGAAAGCCUGACGCAGCAACUCCUUGUGGAGGAAGACGCCCCUAGGGGUGUAAACUCCUGUUUGUAGCGAAUAAUUUUGACUGUAGCUACAGAGGAAGCAUCGGCUAACUACGUGCCAGCAGCCGCGGUAAGACGUAGGAUGCAAGCGUUGUCCGGAUUCAUUGGGCGUAAAGAGUUCGUAGGCGGUAGCCUAAGUCUGAUGUUAAAUCCCGAAGCUUAACUUCGGCAUGGCAUUGGAAACUGGGUUGCUAGAGUGUGAUAGAGGUAACUGGAAUUCUCGGUGUAGCGGUGAAAUGCGUAGAUAUCGGGAGGAACACCAGUGGCGAAAGCGAGUUACUGGAUCAUUACUGACGCUGAGGAACGAAAGCCAGGGUAGCAAAAGGGAUUAGAUACCCGGGUAGUCC